GAUGAACGCUGGCGGCGUGCCUAAUACAUGCAAGUCGAGCGAACAGAUGAGGAGCUUGCUCCUCUGACGUUAGCGGCGGACGGGUGAGUAACACGUGGAUAACCUACCUAUAAGACUGGGAUAACUUCGGGAAACCGGAGCUAAUACCGGAUAAUAUAUUGAACCGCAUGGUUCAAUAGUGAAAGACGGUUUCGCUGUCACUUAUAGAUGGAUCCGCGCCGCAUUAGCUAGUUGGUAAGGUAACGGCUUACCAAGGCGACGAUGCGUAGCCGACCUGAGAGGGUGAUCGGCCACACUGGAACUGAGACACGGUCCAGACUCCUACGGGAGGCAGCAGUAGGGAAUCUUCCGCAAUGGGCGAAAGCCUGACGGAGCAACGCCGCGUGAGUGAUGAAGGUCUUCGGAUCGUAAAACUCUGUUAUUAGGGAAGAACAAAUGUGUAAGUAACUAUGCACGUCUUGACGGUACCUAAUCAGAAAGCCACGGCUAACUACGUG
Molecule: ribosomal RNA, 497 nt
Filed under: uncultured bacterium
Lineage: Bacteria
Description: partial 16S ribosomal RNA
Rfam family: Bacterial small subunit ribosomal RNA
Source: RNAcentral